RNAcentral lists this ribosomal RNA (253 nucleotides) under uncultured bacterium. RNAcentral describes it as "partial 16S ribosomal RNA". It matches the Rfam family "Bacterial small subunit ribosomal RNA", at positions 524 to 776 of the family's 1533-position model. The record is from RNAcentral.
UACGAAGGGGGCUAGCGUUGUUCGGAAUUACUGGGCGUAAAGCGCGUGUAGGCGGGCCGUUAAGUCGGGGGUGAAAGCCCAGAGCUCAACUCUGGAACUGCCUUCGAUACUGGCGGCCUGGAGCAUGAUAGAGGCGAGUGGAAUUGCGAGUGUAGAGGUGAAAUUCGUAGAUAUUCGCAGGAACACCAGUGGCGAAGGCGCCUCCCUGGAUCAUUUCUGAAGCUGAGACGCGAAAGCGUGGGGAGCUAACAGG